RNAcentral lists this long non-coding RNA (2043 nucleotides) under Mus musculus (house mouse). Its description in RNAcentral is "long non-coding RNA chr14:64796300-64798343". Lineage: Eukaryota; Metazoa; Chordata; Mammalia; Rodentia; Muridae. The record is from RNAcentral.
AGAUACCCCUGGCAAGGCCAGGGCCUUCCCUGAGCAUGCCUCUGCCCUCACUAUAUGAACAUAGUCCUUGACACAGGCCUCUGUUGAUGAGCUUAUGGGUCAGGCUUGGUCCUCAGUAGCAUGUGGCUAUUAUCCCAUCAGAGGCUCUACUUUUAUCAGACUUGUUAAAGCUAGCCAUUUCUAAUGCCCUGCAUCUAGACUCUGCUUAGAAUUUUCUCAUAUCAGAAGGUGAGAUGUUGACUUCUGAUUAUUUGUAGCAAAAAAUAAAAUUUACAACUCUUAUAAAACUAAUUUCUCCUACUUGGGCCUAAAUAGUUGACUAAUAUUCAUUUAAAUAAAAGCUGAGUAUUAACUUGGCCACAAUUUGAUCAAAUUCAUGAUAGUAGGUAGAUGUUAGAAAAGGUUUAUAAAUAUAAAAAAUGUAGGUGACAAUUCAGUAUUGUUUAAGGUAAUUAAUGCUUCCUUUGUCCAGCUUCUCUUGUUCCCUUUACAGCUUUAUGCUAAAAUUUACAAGGAUCCAUCUUUUCCCACUGUCUGUUUUAUUCUUUGUGCUGUUUGUUAAAUGACUGAUGUACGUGUUUAUUUCUUCAGAAAACACCAAGACAGCACUUAUUAGUGCCCUCCUAAGAGUGGAGGGCAAGAUGUUCCUUCUGAACUCCACAGAUAGAGGCACAGCCAGUGCAGGGUCCCAGCAGGUGCUGCCAAAUAUGUUUGUGGCAUAGGGAAGGGAGUGGGUAUUCAUGAAGUCUGAGUGAGAUGUGAUCUCAUAAAUGACUGGCACCAUUUUCCUGAACCGUUGCCAGGUUGUGGUGGCUGAACAUGUGUCUGCUGGGUUUCAGCAGUGCUCAGCAGACCACACAAAGGCUCCUGAGCAUCGCUGACUCCACUCAGUGCUGGGCUCCCUAAGCCCUGGUUCUGGAGCAGGAAACAGAUAAUUAUAUUCACCCUUCUCGCGGGACUUCUUAAUAUUUAUGGUUGUGAAAUACUUUGCAGUAGCUUUUAUUAAUAGUUACCAGAUGUGUCAUAAGGAUUAAUGAAUUUACGAUGUGAAGUGUUUAGAGCUCCUGAAAUAGAGGUUACUGUGCAUGGAAUGUGCAAAGGAGUAUUCAAAUGGCUGAGCUUGGAGGGUGGAGCUGUUGUGUGUGAAGGAGCAGUGGCUUGCAGAAGGUCCAGCUUAGUUUGUAUCUGGUACCUUACUGCUUGAGCCUCUCCCCCAGCCCCAUAUGUGGAUACACAGUGUGUUGGGUACUCUGUCCACCUUUCUCCUCUCCGCCUGGGUAAUGCCUCUAACUUCUUCAGCCUCCAAACAUUCAUCGCACUUCUUGUUUCCUCUUCUUUCUCUUCCUAUCCAAGUUUAGGCCCUCAGGAACUCUCUGUGGAACCACUGCAAUAAUGUCUUCAUUGAUCUCUCAUCCUGGUGUCUUCCCUCCCUAACCAGUCUUCCAAAGGAAGAUUCUCCUCUCUGUCAUCACACAAAGACUUCUAUGCCCCACCCCUUCCAGUUUCCACCCCUUCACUGCACUGAGCCUCUUCCCUUGCUGGGGCUGUUCAAGAUCCUGGGGAGACACCAGUUCCCUGAUGCCUUCUGCUCAGGCUGGUCCCACCCAGUCACUCGGUCUAUCUCUUCUCCCCUGAGUUCCCUCUGCCUUAGGACCUUCCAGUCUGGGAUCCAUUUCUCACUCUUCAUUUUAGUAAUUUGGCUUACACAUCCCUCCCUGCCCGCAAACAGACCACCUCUCCCAAAUGAGAGAAGCCAAAUGGACAUUGAGACUUGCUGAGUCUGGAGAGCGGUUUCAUGGUAGAACCAGGGCUUGGUCUGUUUGUGCCCUCGGUUAAUUUUUGCAUCUGUUUUGUUAGGGAGCCACCGAGUCAUGUUAGGGAGCUGCUGAGUCAUGAGGAAGAGUGUGCACAUGCUUCCCUGCUCAGGAUCACGUCAGCAGGAGUCCAUGUUUGGUGGCCACCAUUCCCUCCUGCUAGGCUUCUACAUUUCCUUCCUUCCUUCCUUCCUUCCUUCCUUCCUUCCUUCCUUCCUUCCUUCCUUCC